ACGGCGAGUGAAGCGGCAAGAGCUCAAAUUUGAAAGCUGGCUCCUUCGGGGUCCGCAUUGUAAUUUGCAGAGGAUGCUUCGGGAGCGGUCCCCAUCUAAGUGCCCUGGAACGGGACGUCAUAGAGGGUGAGAAUCCCGUAUGGGAUGGGGUGUCCGCGCCCGUGUGAAGCUCCUUCGACGAGUCGAGUUGUUUGGGAAUGCAGCUCUAAAUGGGUGGUAAAUUUCAUCUAAAGCUAAAUAUUGGCCGGAGACCGAUAGCGCACAAGUAGAGUGAUCGAAAGAUGAAAAGCACUUUGAAAAGAGAGUUAAAAAGCACGUGAAAUUGUUGAAAGGGAAGCGCUUGCGACCAGACUCGCUCGCGGGGUUCAGCCGGCAUUCGUGCCGGUGUAUUUCCCCGCGGGCGGGCCAGCGUCGGUUUGGGCGGUCGGUCAAAGGCCCUCGGAAGGUAACGCCCCCUCGGGGGCGUCUUAUAGCCGAGGGUGCAAUGCGACCUGCCUGGACCGAGGAACGCGCUUCGGCUCGGACGCUGGCAUAAUGGUCGUAAGCGACCCGU
Molecule: ribosomal RNA, 553 nt
Filed under: Penicillium lenticrescens
Lineage: Eukaryota; Fungi; Ascomycota; Eurotiomycetes; Eurotiales; Aspergillaceae
Description: partial large subunit ribosomal RNA
Rfam family: Eukaryotic large subunit ribosomal RNA
Source: RNAcentral